GAUGAACGCUGGCGGCGUGCCUAAUACAUGCAAGUCGAGCGAACAGACGAGGAGCUUGCUUCUCUGACGUUAGCGGCGGACGGGUGAGUAACACGUGGAUAACCUACCUAUAAGACUGGGAUAACUUCGGGAAACCGGAGCUAAUACCGGAUAAUAUCUUGAACCGCAUGGUUCAAUAGUGAAAGACGGUUUUGCUGUCACUUAUAGAUGGAUCCGCGCUGCAUUAGCUAGUUGGUAAGGUAACGGCUUACCAAGGCAACGAUGCGUAGCCGACCUGAGAGGGUGAUCGGCCACACUGGAACUGAGACACGGUCCAGACUCCUACGGGAGGCAGCAGUAGGGAAUCUUCCGCAAUGGGCGAAAGCCUGACGGAGCAACGCCGCGUGAGUGAUGAAGGUCUUCGGAUCGUAAAACUCUGUUAUUAGGGAAGAACAAAUGUGUAAGUAACUGUGCACAUCUUGACGGUACCUAAUCAGAAAGCCACGGCUAACUACGUG
RNAcentral lists this ribosomal RNA (497 nucleotides) under uncultured bacterium. RNAcentral's name for it is "partial 16S ribosomal RNA". It matches the Rfam family "Bacterial small subunit ribosomal RNA", at positions 28 to 507 of the family's 1533-position model. The record is from RNAcentral.